GUUUGAUCCUGGCUCAGAUUGAACGCUGGCGGAAUGCUUUACACAUGCAAGUCGAACGGUAGAGGGGGCAACCCCUUGAGAGUGGCGAACGGGUGAGUAAUAUAUCGGAACGUGCCCAGUCGUGGGGGAUAACGUAGUGAAAAUUACGCUAAUACCGCAUACGAUCUAUGGAUGAAAGCGGGGGAUCGCAAGACCUCGCGCGAUUGGAGCGGCCGAUAUCAGAUUAGGUAGUUGGUGAGGUAAAGGCUCACCAAGCCGACGAUCUGUAGCUGGUCUGAGAGGACGACCAGCCACACUGGAACUGAGACACGGUCCAGACUCCUACGGGAGGCAGCAGUGGGGAAUUUUGGACAAUGGACGCAAGUCUGAUCCAGCCAUUCCGCGUGCAGGACGAAGGCCUUCGGGUUGUAAACUGCUUUUGUACAGAACGAAAAGGUCUCUAUUAAUACUAGGGGCUCAUGACGGUACUGUAAGAAUAAGCACCGGCUAACUACGUGCCAGCAGCCGCGGUAAUACGUAGGGUGCAAGCGUUAAUCGGAAUUACUGGGCGUAAAGCGUGCGCAGGCGGUUAUAUAAGACAGAUGUGAAAUCCCCGGGCUCAACCUGGGAACUGCAUUUGUGACUGUAUAGCUGGAGUGCGGCAGAGGGGGAUGGAAUUCCGCGUGUAGCAGUGAAAUGCGUAGAUAUGCGGAGGAACACCGAUGGCGAAGGCAAUCCCCUGGGCCUGCACUGACGCUCAUGCACGAAAGCGUGGGGAGCAAACAGGAUUAGAUACCCUGGUAGUCCACGCCCUAAACGAUGUCGACUGGUUGUUGGGUCUUCACUGACUCAGUACGAAGCUAACGCGUGAAGUCGACCGCCUGGGGAGUACGGCCCGCAAAGUUGAAACUCAAGGAAUUGACGGG
Molecule: ribosomal RNA, 905 nt
Filed under: uncultured bacterium
Lineage: Bacteria
Description: bacterial SSU rRNA
Rfam family: Bacterial small subunit ribosomal RNA
Source: RNAcentral